UACGGGGGGAGCAAGCGUUGUUCGGAUUUACUGGGCGUAAAGAGCUCGUAGGUGGUUUGUCGCGUUGUCCGUGAAAACUCACAACUCAAUUGUGGGCGUGCGGGCGAUACGGGCAGACUGGAGUACUGCAGGGGAGACUGGAAUUCCUGGUGUAGCGGUGGAAUGCGCAGAUAUCAGGAGGAACACCGGUGGCGAAGGCGGGUCUCUGGGCAGUAACUGACGCUGAGGAGCGAAAGCGUGGGGAGCGAACAGG
Molecule: ribosomal RNA, 253 nt
Filed under: uncultured bacterium
Lineage: Bacteria
Description: partial 16S ribosomal RNA
Rfam family: Bacterial small subunit ribosomal RNA
Source: RNAcentral